This 358-nucleotide ribosomal RNA is filed under the name Rhabdias engelbrechti. RNAcentral's name for it is "partial 12S ribosomal RNA". Lineage: Eukaryota; Metazoa; Nematoda; Chromadorea; Rhabditida; Rhabdiasidae. The record is from RNAcentral.
ACUUUAAAAAUUAUAAGGUGGAAUUAGAAUUUUUUUGUGUAAUGUUGUUUGUAAUUUUAAAUUUUGAUUGAACGAACUAGAAUAGAACCUAGUUAGACAAAUAUUAAAAGAGCAGAAGUAAAGUUGUAUUUAAACUGAAAGGAUAUUGGCAGGUGAUCUAAAUUAUCUUUGGAGGCUGAGUAGUAAUUGAGAACCCCCAUUAGCUACUUUGUUUGUUUUCGCAUGUAUGAUCGUUUAUUUAAAUCUUAAAGGUAGUAAUUAAAGAUUAAUUUUCUAUAAAAACAGAUAAAUACCUGGUAUAUAAUUAAAGUAAGAUUUGGCCUACAUUAUUUUAUAAUGUGGAUAAUAUUUUUGGCAA